AUGCUAUGAUGAAACAUUUUGGUCCGUGUUUAUGAAAUUCUAUGAUUAUUCAAGAACUUAUUUUUCUGAUCAA
This is a non-coding RNA of Anopheles melas, 73 nucleotides long. The record is from Rfam. NCBI's taxonomy places the organism in Eukaryota, Metazoa, Arthropoda, Insecta, Diptera, Culicidae.